CACCUCUAGCAUUACCAGUAUUAGAGGCACUGCCUGCCCAGUGACAUUAGUUAAACGGCCGCGGUAUCCUGACCGUGCAAAGGUAGCAUAAUCAUUUGUUCCUUAAUUAGGGACUUGUAUGAAUGGCCCCACGAGGGUUUAACUGUCUCUUACUUUUAAUCAGUGAAAUUGACCUUCCCGUGAAGAGGCGGGAAUAUAACAAUAAGACGAGAAGACCCUAUGGAGCUUAAAUUAAUAUGCUCAACAAAAUUUAAAUUUAGCCCAAUAGGAGUAAUCAUAAUUUAACUGAGCAACAAAUUUUGGUUGGGGUGACCUCGGAGUAUAGCAAAACCUCCGAGUGAUUUUAACUAAGACAUACUCGUCAAGGUUACAUAACUUAUUGAUCCAAUCAUAUUGAUCAACGAAACAAGUUACCCUAGGGAUAACAGCGCAAUCCUAUUCGAGAGUUCAUAUCGACAAUAGGGUUUACGACCUCGAUGUUGGAUCAGGACACCCAAAUGGUGCAGCAGCUAUUAAAGGUUCGUUUGUUCAACG
RNAcentral lists this ribosomal RNA (534 nucleotides) under Crocidura wimmeri (Wimmer's shrew). RNAcentral describes it as "partial large subunit ribosomal RNA". It matches the Rfam family "Bacterial large subunit ribosomal RNA", at positions 1816 to 2586 of the family's 2925-position model. Lineage: Eukaryota; Metazoa; Chordata; Mammalia; Eulipotyphla; Soricidae. The record is from RNAcentral.